UCCAGACUCCUACGGGAGGCAGCAGUGGGGAAUAUUGCACAAUGGGGGAAACCCUGAUGCAGCGACGCCGCGUGAGUGAAGAAGUAUUUCGGUAUGUAAAGCUCUAUCAGCAGGAAAGAAAAUGACGGUACCUGACUAAGAAGCCCCGGCUAACUACGUGCCAGCAGCCGCGGUAAUACGUAGGGGGCAAGCGUUAUCCGGAUUUACUGGGUGUAAAGGGAGCGUAGACGGUGAAGCAAGUCUGAAGUGAAAGGCGGGGGCUCAACCCCCGGACUGCUUUGGAAACUGUUUGACUGGAGUGCAGGAGAGGUAAGUGGAAUUCCUAGUGUAGCGGUG
RNAcentral lists this ribosomal RNA (336 nucleotides) under uncultured bacterium. Its description in RNAcentral is "partial 16S ribosomal RNA". It matches the Rfam family "Bacterial small subunit ribosomal RNA", at positions 330 to 683 of the family's 1533-position model. The record is from RNAcentral.